AGAACGAACGCUGGCGGCAGGCUUAACACAUGCAAGUCGAGCGCCCAGCAAUGGGAGCGGCGGACGGGUGAGUAACACGUGGGAACAUGCCCUUUGGUACGGGACAACUCAGGGAAACUUGAGCUAAUACCGUAUGAGCCGGUAACGGGAAAGAUUUAUCGCCAAAGGAAUGGCCCGCGUCCGAUUAGCUAGUUGGUGAGGUAAUGGCUCACCAAGGCACCGAUCGGUAGCUGGUUUGAGAGAACGACCAGCCACACUGGGACUGAGACACGGCCCAGACUCCUACGGGAGGCAGCAGUGGGGAAUCUUGGACAAUGGGGGCAACCCUGAUCCAGCCAUGCCGCGUGAGUGAUGAAGGCCUUCGGGUUGUAAAACUCUUUCGACGGGGACAUAAUGACGGUACCCGUAGAAGAAGCUCGGCUAACUUCGUGCCAGCAGCCGC
RNAcentral lists this ribosomal RNA (442 nucleotides) under uncultured bacterium. RNAcentral describes it as "SSU rRNA". It matches the Rfam family "Bacterial small subunit ribosomal RNA", at positions 26 to 518 of the family's 1533-position model. The record is from RNAcentral.